This 617-nucleotide ribosomal RNA is filed under the name uncultured bacterium. RNAcentral describes it as "bacterial SSU rRNA". It matches the Rfam family "Bacterial small subunit ribosomal RNA", at positions 73 to 701 of the family's 1533-position model. The record is from RNAcentral.
CACCAGCUUGCUGGUGUGGAUGAGUGGCGAACGGGUGAGUAAUACGUGAGUAACCUGCCCUUGACUCUGGGAUAAGCCCGGGAAACUGGGUCUAAUACUGGAUGCUACAUGUCACCGCAUGGUGGUGCGUGGAAAGGGUUUACUGGUCUUGGAUGGGCUCACGGCCUAUCAGCUUGUUGGCGAGGUAAUGGCUCACCAAGGCGACGACGGGUAGCCGGCCUGAGAGGGUGACCGGCCACACUGGGACUGAGACACGGCCCAGACUCCUACGGGAGGCAGCAGUGGGGAAUAUUGCACAAUGGGCGAAAGCCUGAUGCAGCGACGCCGCGUGAGGGAUGACGGCCUUCGGGUUGUAAACCUCUUUCAGCGGGGAAGAAGCCACAAGUGACGGUACCUGCAGAAGAAGCGCCGGCUAACUACGUGCCAGCAGCCGCGGUAAUACGUAGGGCGCAAGCGUUGUCCGGAAUUAUUGGGCGUAAAGAGCUCGUAGGCGGUUUGUCGCGUCUGCUGUGAAAGCCCGGGGCUUAACCCCGGGUGUGCAGUGGGUACGGGCAGACUAGAGUGCAGUAGGGGAGACUGGAAUUCCUGGUGUAGCGGUGGAAUGCGCAGAUAUCAGG